Long non-coding RNA from Oncorhynchus tshawytscha (Chinook salmon), 1217 nucleotides. Lineage: Eukaryota; Metazoa; Chordata; Actinopteri; Salmoniformes; Salmonidae. The record is from Ensembl.
CCUGGUACUGUCUAAAGGUUAAGAGAUGACCUGGUACUGUCUAAAGGUUAAGAUAUGACCUGGUACUACCUAAAGGUUAAGAGAUGACCUGGUACUGUCUAAAGGUUAAGAUAUGACCUGGUACUGUCUAAAGGUUAAGAUAUGACCUGGUACUGUCUAAAGGUUAAGAUAUGACCUGGUACUACCUAAAGGUUAAGAUAUGACCUGGUACUACCUAAAGGUUAAGAUAUGACCUGGUACUGUCUAAAGGUUAAGAUAUGACCUGGUACUGUCUAAAGGUUAAGAUAUGACCUGGUACUGUCUAAAGGUUAAGAUAUGUCAUCUGUUUGCUGCAAAUGCACUCAAACUUGUCUAUCCUUUUGGACCAAAUUAGAAUCUGUCGUUAGGCCAUAUUACUAGAAACCUACUGGAUUUAAUGAUGUCUAGGUAACUGAUGUUUACCAGUUGUAAAUUUCACUGUGCCUUGCAAAUUCUUUUUUAAAAAUGUGUUUAUUUAAGUAGUGAGUAUAAUAGGUUACUUCCCCAAUCUAGAUACAGGACCUGGGCUGUCUCAAUAGUGUAAGCGUGCUUCCUUUCAUUGUACUUCUCCUUCGUGAUCUCUGAUCUGGCAGGUGGAAGCAACAUAUGGUGAAAGCCUCUCUCACCUAUCAUGAAGGAAAGGAGAUGAAAGAAGGAAGCCAGUGUAGUGGAUUGAGAUAUCUCCCAUGCAGCCCCAGUCUCCUUUAUAUUAAGCCCAAUGCUCUUAGACACCGGUCAGUGUUGUCUUAAAAAGGAAAGGAAUUGAUUUGGUAUAUGAAUGAACCUGGUCUGCCAAACAACAGCCAAACAGCUGUUAAAUAUGCCUACCUGGUCAGGUCAAGGGGUCAGUAGUAACUCCAGGCUCUUAUGUCCACUACUACGGUGGCCCAGAGUGGACAUCUAUUAGUUUACAACCAAGGUUGGGGGUAAAUUCCAUUUCAAUUCAGGAAGGAAAAAUUGGAAUUUCAACAAUCGUCAAUGCUUUUUAAUGAGGAAACAUUUGGAAUUGUAAUUUGGUUUUAACUUUCUGAUUUGAAAUGGAAUCGAACCCCCCCGUCAACCCUGUUUACAACCAUGUACAUUAUUACAUACCGAUGAAUGUUCUAGUUUGUUCAGGUCAAAGUGCUGCGUUUCGGUGUUUUCUUAAAGCAUCCCUCUCCAUUCAUAGCUACACGUUGUUGUGUUCAUGUAUUUGACCC